This 230-nucleotide long non-coding RNA is filed under the name Cyanistes caeruleus (blue tit). RNAcentral describes it as "lncRNA (ENSCCEG00000004406.1)". Lineage: Eukaryota; Metazoa; Chordata; Aves; Passeriformes; Paridae. The record is from RNAcentral.
AUGAGAGAACGUUUUUGGUGUCCCCAGGUGUCCCCAGGUGUGUCCCAGGUGUCCCCAGGUGUGUCCAGGUGUCCCCAGGUGUGUUCCAGGUGUCCCCAGGUGUGUUCAGGUGUGUUCCAGGUGUCCCCAGGUGUGUCCCAGGUGUCCCCAGGUGUCCCCAGGUGUCCCCAGGUGUGUCCAGGUGUCCCCAGGUGUGUUCCAGGUGUCCCCAGGUGUCCCCAGGUGUGUUC